This 1895-nucleotide long non-coding RNA is filed under the name Lathyrus oleraceus (garden pea). Its description in RNAcentral is "Pisum sativum (pea) long non-coding RNA (PSAT_LNC012473)". The record is from RNAcentral. Lineage: Eukaryota; Viridiplantae; Streptophyta; Magnoliopsida; Fabales; Fabaceae.
AAUUAAACAAAAGUAUGACAUACAUAGCCUUAACAAAUCAUCCACAUAAAAAGUGGUUCAAUAAUUACUUUUAAUUAAAAGAUAUGUAACAUAAUAACAUAAAGAAAAUAGUCUAUUCCCUGGUGUUACGUAUCAGAGCAACUCCACAAUAGACUCGACUAAUAGUAACAUGAGGUACAUCUUCAACUACUCAGGUAUCUAAUUGUCUGUACUCCGAGGGAGCAUAGACACAAUAAAUACAAAAAGUGUGAGAAAUUCAUUCAUAUAAUAUACGGUGUAUAAUAAUUAAGAGAGUAGUAAUUAUACACGCAAAUCAAAUUCAUUCACAAUCAUAUUUUCACCACAACAAAUGCACGAGCACAACAUAAUUACAAUACAAUGAGACCUGACAACAUUACAUGAUGCAUGUGGUAUCAAUUUUCAUCAAUGGUUCAUUAUACAAACUUGAUUCCCCCUUUGGAAUCCUGAACUCUCCCUUCUUAGUUUCAUAUAAGUCUUCUGUCCCCCUUCGGACCUAUGACUUAUCUCCUAUAACAUAUCAACAAUGAAUGCACGACAUGGUAAUAAUGCAAUUAACACAAUAAUUAUAAUAAUAUUUAGUGAUCCAUAAUCGAUCACAAAAUUACAACCAUGCAUAAAAUAAUCCACCAUUCUAGACUACCACCAAUAUAAUCAAACACACCCUUUCAAACAUUCACAACAUAUCAAAUAAUUUGUCAAUGCGGACCUCGUCUAUAUUUGUCACAUCAUACAUUUCUUUCCCACCUGUUACUGACAUAUGAUUGUCGCACCUCGAAAAAAUGGGGAUACGACUUCAAAGCGAAGCGCGAUCGCACGCUCGCAAUGAUGAACUGAACAGAGUCGCCACCGAACUUUAUUUAUUCCUAAAAAGGAAAGGGGAAAUAUCGAUAAAACCCAAGACAAAAUGACAAUGAUUAUUGGUCGUCGCAACCAAAUCAGGGUUCGGGAGUCGAUUACGCAAGGGGAAGGUAUUAGCACCCCUCACGUCCGUUGUACUCAACGGGAACCAUUAGGUCAGUUGUGUGCGUUAGUGUUAGUUUGAAAUGUUAGGCUUUUUAAGUUAUUAAGUGGGAAAGAAAGAAUAGAAAAGAGAAGAAAUGUUUUUGGAUUUUUUGACGAAGGACUAAACCUAAGUUUUUUAUUAGUGGGCCUGACAAGAUUUACGAAUCCUGCUCCUACGUAUCUCAAAAGAGAAAUCAAGGCUUACGUAGUUCUGGAUAGAAAAAUGUUUGUUUGUUGGUCGAUUUUAGCAAAAGCUAUAUUGUAUUAAUCGACGAAAACAUUAUUUUACCCAAAACAGAUGAGGAGUAGACGCAUACCACACAUCGAACGGAUUUAUAAAUCUACAUUCGGAAAAGCGUCAUUUAUCUCUACUCAAUAAUCGUGGCCGAAAUAUUGUUUUGCAUCACCUUAAGACAAUAUAUCUUUCAUUUAUGAAAAAGGUUUUUGAUUAAUCGCACGGCGGCGAAAAAGAGUUUGACUGGUUGAAUGUAUUUUGAGUGAUGGCGAGAACUUGGAUGAGCGAGAUAUACAUCUCGAAUCCUAGCCUCAGGAGUGCAUGGUAUACACCAUGUUCCAUUUCCAUCUUAUUUGCAAAAAUGUUUAAUAAGAAUUAAGUGUUUUUGAGGUUUUGAUUGAGAAAGGGUCUGAAGAAACCGCAUUGACAAUUUUAGACGAUGGCGAGAGCUAAGAUAGGCGAGGCAUACGUCUUGAAUCUUAAUCUCAGGAGUGCACGGUAUACACCAUGUUCCAUUUCCAUCUUUAUUGAAAAAGUAUUAAAUAUGAAUUAGGUAUUUUUGAGUUUUGUUGUGAAAAUGACUUGACCCUAGAUCAAGUAUUGAUGGACGUUUAAGAGAAAUUUGAAUGAGUGUUUG